RNAcentral lists this long non-coding RNA (291 nucleotides) under Elaeis guineensis (African oil palm). RNAcentral's name for it is "long non-coding RNA (EGUI_LNC073927)". Lineage: Eukaryota; Viridiplantae; Streptophyta; Magnoliopsida; Arecales; Arecaceae. The record is from RNAcentral.
CAGAAGUCACCUUGGUGGCAUCUGAGAACAGCCGAAGCUGCACUCUGCCCGAGAGCCGUUCUUUGCUUUGCCUGCGGGAGCUUCUGCUUCCACGUGGCGGUGCAAGACAUCGAGAUCAGGAAGCCAAACCAUAUUCGCAGGAAAGAGGAUGAUGGCUCUGCUUGUGUUUGUUAAAAUCUCUCAAAAAACCUGGCCUAUGGCGCUCGCCGGAACCGAAGACUAGGAAGAAACCAAGGGUUGGAACUGGGAAGAGAGAGGUUCCCUCCGCAUGCGGGAAGGAACCCAUUGCGG